Molecule: ribosomal RNA, 253 nt
Filed under: uncultured bacterium
Lineage: Bacteria
Description: partial 16S ribosomal RNA
Rfam family: Bacterial small subunit ribosomal RNA
Source: RNAcentral
UACGUAGGGGGCAAGCGUUGUCCGGAAUCAUUGGGCGUAAAGAGCGUGUAGGCGGCCCGGUAAGUCCGCUGUGAAAGUCCAGGGCUCAACCCUGGGAUGCCGGUGGAUACUGUCGGGCUCGAGUCCGGAAGAGGAGUGUGGAAUUCCUGGUGUAGCGGUGAAAUGCGCAGAUAUCAGGAGGAACACCGGUGGCGAAGGCGGGUCUCUGGGCCGAAAUUGACGCUGAGGAGCGAAAGCGUGGGGAGCAAACAGG